CGAGGGGGGCAAAUGUUGUUCGGAAUCACUGGGCGUAAAGGGAGCGUAGGCGGGCUCUUAAGUUAGGUGUUUAAUCCCGGGGCCCAACCCCGGACAGGCACCUAAAACUGGGAGUCUUGAAUAGUGGAGAGGACGGCGGAAUUGGGGGUGUAGCGGUGGAAUGCGUAGAGAUCCCCAAGAACACCAGUUGCGAAGGCGGCCGUCUGGACACAUAUUGACGCUGAGGCUCGAAAGCAUGGGGAGCAAACAGGAUUAGAUACCCUGGUAGUCCAUGCUAUAAACGAUGAAUACUAGGUUUUGGGCCCGUCAACGGUCCAGAGCCGCAGCUAACGCGUUAAGUAUUCCGCCUGGGGAGUACGCUCGCAAGAGUG
Molecule: ribosomal RNA, 371 nt
Filed under: uncultured organism
Description: bacterial SSU rRNA
Rfam family: Bacterial small subunit ribosomal RNA
Source: RNAcentral